CUGGCGGCGUGCUUAACACAUGCAAGUCGAACGAAGAGCGAUGGAAGCUUGCUUCUAUCAAUCUUAGUGGCGAACGGGUGAGUAACGCGUAAUCAACCUGCCCUUCAGAGGGGGACAACAGUUGGAAACGACUGCUAAUACCGCAUACGAUUUGACCUCGGCAUCGAGGAUAGAUGAAAGGUGGCCUCUAUUUAUAAGCUAUCACUGAAGGAGGGGAUUGCGUCUGAUUAGCUAGUUGGAGGGGUAACGGCCCACCAAGGCGAUGAUCAGUAGCCGGUCUGAGAGGAUGAACGGCCACAUUGGGACUGAGACACGGCCCAGACUCCUACGGGAGGCAGCAAUGGGGAAUCUUCCGCAAUGGACGAAAGUCUGACGGAGCAACGCCGCGUGAGUGAUGACGGCCUUCGGGUUGUAAAGCUCUGUUAAUCGGGACGAAAGGCCUUCUUGCGAAUAGUUAGAAGGAUUGACGGUACCGGAAUAGA
RNAcentral lists this ribosomal RNA (482 nucleotides) under unidentified oral bacterium RP55-16. Its description in RNAcentral is "bacterial SSU rRNA". It matches the Rfam family "Bacterial small subunit ribosomal RNA", at positions 36 to 487 of the family's 1533-position model. The record is from RNAcentral.